This 287-nucleotide long non-coding RNA is filed under the name Heterocephalus glaber (naked mole-rat). Its description in RNAcentral is "Nuclear RNase P". It matches the Rfam family "Nuclear RNase P", at positions 90 to 301 of the family's 301-position model. Rfam says of the family: Ribonuclease P (RNase P) is a ubiquitous endoribonuclease, found in archaea, bacteria and eukarya as well as chloroplasts and mitochondria. Its best characterised activity is the generation of mature 5'-ends of tRNAs by cleaving the 5'-leader elements of precursor-tRNAs. Cellular RNase Ps are ribonucleoproteins. The record is from Rfam by way of RNAcentral. Lineage: Eukaryota; Metazoa; Chordata; Mammalia; Rodentia; Bathyergidae.
GGUGUGCACCUGUACUGGUGUGUACAGACGUGUACCCCCUUGUGUAUAGGUGGGGGUGCACAAACACACAGGUGAGGAGGGGAGUGUGUUUGUGAAUAUGUGCAUGAGCAUAAAAGAAUUCAAAAGUUGUGGGCAGGAGAUGCCGAGAGCCUGCCCAUGGGCAGGACCUGGAGGAUCCCUCCUUAGCUGGAGCUUGGAACAGACUCACGGCAGCCAAGUGAGUUCAAUGGCUGAGGUGAGGCACCGCCCCAGGCCUCAUAACCCAAUUCAGACUACACUCCCCCACC